This 255-nucleotide ribosomal RNA is filed under the name uncultured bacterium. Its description in RNAcentral is "partial 16S ribosomal RNA". It matches the Rfam family "Bacterial small subunit ribosomal RNA", at positions 524 to 776 of the family's 1533-position model. The record is from RNAcentral.
UACGUAGGGUGCAAGCGUUGUCCGGAAUUAUUGGGCGUAAAGAGCUCGUAGGCGGUUCGUCGCGUCGGCUGUGAAAUCCCGAGGCUCAACCUCGGGUCUGCAGUCGAUACGGGCGGACUGGAGUUCGGCAGGGGAGACUGGGAAUUCCUGGUGUAGCGGUGAAAUGCGCAGAGUAUCAGGAGGAACACCGGUGGCGAAGGCGGGUCUCUGGGCCGAUACUGACGCUGAGGAGCGAAAGCGUGGGGAGCGAACAGG